Dermacentor albipictus is the source of this 516-nucleotide non-coding RNA. The record is from RefSeq and is a predicted model, not a curated record. NCBI's taxonomy places the organism in Eukaryota, Metazoa, Arthropoda, Arachnida, Ixodida, Ixodidae.
GACAUGCAGUAAUGAGGACGGCACCAGUAUAAAGCAACACACUCCACGCACUAAACAGAAGCUGCUGCCUGCUACGACAAGGUCAUUGUGUGGACAUUGGCUACUACUACAAGAGUCUAUGCCAAGCACAUCUUGGUCAUCACAGGAGCUCCUAUCUGCACCAACAGGAAGGGGCUGGAGCCGAAUUUGCAAGGCUUUUACACCAAGAACAAAGAAGCACAUGCACAAGAAUAUGGAUGAGAUAUCAAGUCUGCAAAGGACUGUGUUAAGACUGCAAAGAGCUUCAGCCAGCAUUCCACCAGCACGGACAUUUGGCUGAGUCAUCCAAGUAACUCAAAAAGGACUUUCUAGAAAUUCUUCGUCUUCAGAUGCACCUGCAACAUCUGGCCAAGCACGGACGACGCUGGCCAAAAGAUUGAGUUUCAUCAGUUCGUCCUUAAUCAGCUUCCAAGCCGUGUUAAUUCCGUUUGUGCGAAGUGUAAUUUUUCUUCUAUAAAUGCAAGCUUUCUCAUUGCC